GCGAGCCAGAGAGCGGCAUGCUGCGAGAGCAGAGGAAACUCCUCCCUCCACGCAAGGGGCGCGACCCGGAGACGGGUGGCCAGAGAUGGCCGGCAACAGAACAGAAACGAAUCCGGCCCGGCGCACGGUGAAGGCUGUGCUGGAGGUUUCCGGAGCCGGAAUGGAACGGCUGACCCGCGCGGAGCAAGGCCAGACAGGGCCGCAGGUCCCUGCGGCGGGCCCGGGUGGGCCGCAUAGCCAAAUGUGCCGCUAGAACAAAAGGAGGGUUACUCCUGGCACGC
This 281-nucleotide RNase P RNA is filed under the name Nitrososphaerota archaeon. RNAcentral's name for it is "Thaumarchaeota archaeon RNase P RNA component". It matches the Rfam family "Archaeal RNase P". From Rfam's summary of the family: Ribonuclease P (RNase P) is a ubiquitous endoribonuclease, found in archaea, bacteria and eukarya as well as chloroplasts and mitochondria. Its best characterised activity is the generation of mature 5'-ends of tRNAs by cleaving the 5'-leader elements of precursor-tRNAs. The record is from RNAcentral. Lineage: Archaea; Thermoproteati; Nitrososphaerota.